GUCUCUAUACUUUAUAUUUCUGAUCUGUUUUGUGUCUCGAGGAGCCAAAUUGAUAUAAGUUUGUAGAUGGUCUGGAAAAAUCUUUUGUGGUCUAUUUAACUUUACGUCUGAACGGAUUUGAUGCAUGGUUUUAGGGUCUGUUCUUAUGAAUUGUUCGUUGCUCAUUGGUGGAUACUGCCCAAGGUAUUCAUACUAUUCAAGCUACAGCGGUG
RNAcentral lists this long non-coding RNA (212 nucleotides) under Mytilus galloprovincialis (Mediterranean mussel). The record is from RNAcentral. Lineage: Eukaryota; Metazoa; Mollusca; Bivalvia; Mytilida; Mytilidae.